GAAUAAAAUAAUAUCAGAAGUAUGUGUAUGAUACCUAUGCAUGCCAAAAGUUUACUUGCAUGAUAAUAAUUCGAAAAUGACAUACACAUAGAUAAAUGCAACUAGUUAUUCAAAAUCAGUGUAAGGGGCCUGGGAACGACUGCGUUGCCUUGACAACAAAAUUAGAAGUAUUUUCCCAUGCGUCUCAUCAUGUACUAUCCGUAUGCAAAAUGUCAUUUGAUUUGAGCCAAUAAUAACUGAGCUAUGCUUCAGUUUACUAUUCAUUAAACA
Molecule: non-coding RNA, 270 nt
Organism: Paramuricea clavata
Lineage: Eukaryota; Metazoa; Cnidaria; Anthozoa; Malacalcyonacea; Plexauridae
Source: the annotation of a GenBank genome assembly